This 65-nucleotide transfer RNA is filed under the name Dipodomys ordii (Ord's kangaroo rat). It matches the Rfam family "tRNA". Rfam says of the family: Transfer RNA (tRNA) molecules are approximately 80 nucleotides in length. Their secondary structure includes four short double-helical elements and three loops (D, anti-codon, and T loops). The record is from Rfam by way of RNAcentral. Lineage: Eukaryota; Metazoa; Chordata; Mammalia; Rodentia; Heteromyidae.
GGUGGCUCAGUGGCAGAGCGCUUGCCUUGCAUGCAUAAGGCCCUGGGUUCGAUUCCUUAGCACCA